Molecule: ribosomal RNA, 497 nt
Filed under: uncultured bacterium
Lineage: Bacteria
Description: partial 16S ribosomal RNA
Rfam family: Bacterial small subunit ribosomal RNA
Source: RNAcentral
GAUGAACGCUGGCGGCGUGCCUAAUACAUGCAAGUCGAGCGAACGGACGAGAGGCUUGCUUCUCUGAUGUUAGCGGCGGACGGGUGAGUAACACGUGGAUAACCUACCUAUAAGACUGGGAUAACUUCGGGAAACCGGAGCUAAUACCGGAUAAUAUUUUGAACCGCAUGGUUCAAAAGUGAAAGACGGUCUUGCUGUCACUUAUAGAUGGAUCCGCGCUGCAUUAGCUAGUUGGUAAGGUAACGGCUUACCAAGGCAACGAUGCAUAGCCGACCUGAGGGGGUGAUCGGCCACACUGGAACUGAGACACGGUCCAGACUCCUACGGGAGGCAGCAGUAGGGAAUCUUCCGCAAUGGGCGAAAGCCUGACGGAGCAACGCCGCGUGAGUGAUGAAGGUCUUCGGAUCGUAAAACUCUGUUAUUAGGGAAGAACAUAUGUGUAAGUAACUGUGCACAUCUUGACGGUACCUAAUCAGAAAGCCACGGCUAACUACGUG